AGACUAGUAAAAACUGUUCAAAUAUUUUAAAAAGAUGAAUGGGAUAAAAAUUGCGAGCAACUUCUCUAUUUUUUAAAAGUGAAGACAAUUUGUAAUUCUAGUAUUGGCACGUAAAGUCGGCGGACAAUUUGUCUUCGAGGGCCUCAUAAAAUGAUGUGGAGGGCCAUAUCUGGACCCCGGGCCUCGAGUUUGGCAUCAAGGGGAAAUUGCACAAGCAGGACGCUUUUCAACUAUGUAGAGUAACAUAUUCAGGUUGUCCUUUAUUGAGCUCUAAAUGAAACAAUAAAACAAUAAAAAAAAAGAAAAAUUGGGGCAAUUCUGUGGCACUUGCACGUAGCUUGUUUGACUGUUAAAGUAUCAUGAGCACACAUGUUUUUCUGGUUCCUGUUUCACAUGCGCAGGUGGAUUCCCAGAGGUGCAGCCAGAAGAUAUGUUUGGAAAGCGAGAAAGCGCCACUUGACUGCACGCACAUUUCUGCCUUUGCAUAUCCGGCCGCAGCCAUGGCAAGACCAUAGAAACAAACUGGACUGAACCGUUUCAAAAUGUGUAUUUUAUUUAGGGCCACUUGUGCACUUUGCCAACUGGCUUCAGAGUUCAUGUUUCACUUGCCACUCGUUUUCUCACCAGCACACUUGUGUCUCUUAACUCGGUCCUUACGAGAGAAUCUUUUAUCACACAGGCUGCAACUGAAUGGUUUUUCACCAGUGUGUAUUCUGGUGUGUUUCUCUAAUAUGCAUCUUUGCGUGAAACUUUUACCGCAAACUGAGCAAGCAAACAGUUUCUCCCCAGUGUGUGUUCUUGUGUGUCGAACUAAUCCUGUGCGAUCGAUGAAAGUUAAAUCGCAGACUGUGCAAGCAAAAGGUUUCUCUCCAGUGUGUGUUCUAGUGUGCCUUAUCAAGCACGUCUUCACAUGGAAUCUUUUACCACAAACUGAGCAGGCAAAAGGUUUCUCACCAUCGUGUGUUCUUGCGUGCCUUAUUAAACAUGUUUUCACAGUGAAACUUUUACCACAAACUGGGCAGACAAAUGGCUUCUCCCCAGUGUGUGUUCUUGUGUGUAUUCUUAGACUUCCCUUCAAAGAAAAAGCUUUGCC
Molecule: long non-coding RNA, 1093 nt
Organism: Syngnathus acus (greater pipefish)
Lineage: Eukaryota; Metazoa; Chordata; Actinopteri; Syngnathiformes; Syngnathidae
Exons: 2
Source: RefSeq, a predicted model, not a curated record